CAACCUGCCGUCUACUCUUGGACAGCCUUCUGAAAGGAAGAUUAAUACAAGAUGGCAUCAUGAGUCCGCAUGUUCACAUGAUUAAAGGUAUUCCGGUAGACGAUGGGGAUGCGUUCCAUUAGACAGUAGGCGGGGUAACGGCCCACCUAGUCUUCGAUGGAUAGGGGUUCUGAGAGGAAGGUCCCCCACAUUGGAACUGAGACACGGUCCAAACUCCUACGGGAGGCAGCAGUGAGGAAUAUUGGUCAAUGGGCGCAGGCCUGAACCAGCCAAGUAGCGUGAAGGAUGACUGCCCUAUGGGUUGUAAACUUCUCUUAUAAAGGAAUAAAGUCGGGUAUGUAUACCCGUUUGCAUGUACUUUAUGAAUAAGGAUCGGCUAACUCCGUGCCAGCAGCCGCGGUAAUACGGAGGAUCCGAGCGUUACCCGGAUUUAUUGGGUUUAAAGGGAGCGUAGAUGGAUGUUUAAGUCAGUUGUGAAAGUUUGCGGCUCAACCGUAAAAUUGCAGUUGAUACUGGAUAUCUUGAGUGCAGUUGAGGCAGGCGGAAUUCGUGGUGUAGCGGUGAAAUGCUUAGAUAUCACGAAGAACUCCGAUUG
This 595-nucleotide ribosomal RNA is filed under the name uncultured Bacteroidota bacterium. Its description in RNAcentral is "bacterial SSU rRNA". It matches the Rfam family "Bacterial small subunit ribosomal RNA", at positions 122 to 715 of the family's 1533-position model. The record is from RNAcentral. Lineage: Bacteria; Pseudomonadati; Bacteroidota.